CGCUGAUAGGGGUUUCUAUAGCUAUUUUUGGGUUUAAAGAAAAUCGAUUUUUUGCAUUUUCAAAGUGCUAUAAUUUUCUUAGUUUUUAUCGAAAUUCAUUAUAACCCAGUGUUUUCGUGUUGUAGGUGAUGGGAACAAGCCGCUGGUAUAGUCAAUUCAAAUUCGAAAAAAAUCAAUUUUUGGUGAAAAAUUCGAUACGGGGGGGUAUACCCGAAAAAUGAAAAAACCCAAACUUUGAAGGCCUAUAUCUCGGCUUCUAUGGGAGCUAUCGGGAAAAUUCCAACGGCUUUGUCUUAGUUUCGUCCUUCUGAAUCCAACGAGGCCAUCCGCAAGGUCGUAGCUCCCAUAUUAGCUGAGAUCUUGCAUUUUUGUGGCCCAUUUUUGGGCUCAAAAACGGGGUCGAAAAUUGACUUUUUUCCGAAUUUUCAAAGAGCUAUAAUUCCACUUGUUCUGGUCGAAUUCCGUUAUAACCCGGUGUUUUCGUAAUGUAGGUGAUGGGAAUAAGCCGCCGAUAGGGGUUUCUAUAGCUAUUUUUGGGUUUAAAGAAAAU
Molecule: long non-coding RNA, 550 nt
Filed under: Anthonomus grandis grandis
Lineage: Eukaryota; Metazoa; Arthropoda; Insecta; Coleoptera; Curculionidae
Description: uncharacterized LOC126743211
Source: RNAcentral